AACGAACGCUGGCGGCAUGCCUAACACAUGCAAGUCGAACGAGACCUUCGGGUCUAUUUGCGCACGUGUGCGUAACGCGUGGGAACCUGCCCUUAGGUUCGGAAUAACUCCCCGAAAGGGGUGCUAAUACCGGAUAAUGUCUUCCGACCAAAGAUUUCUCGCCUUUGGAUGGGCCCGCGUUGGAUUAGCUAGUUGGUAGGGUAAAAGCAUACCAAGGCGACGAUCCAUAGCUGGUCUGAGAGGAUGAUCAGCCACACUGGGACUGAGACACGGCCCAGACUCCUACGGGAGGGAGCAGUGGGGAAUAUUGGACAAUGGGCGAAAGCCUGAUCCAGCAAUGCCGCGUGAGUGAUGAAGGCCUUAGGGUUGUAAAGCUCUUUUACCCGGGAUGAUAAUGACAGUACCGGGAGAAUAAGCUCCGGCUAACUCCGUG
RNAcentral lists this ribosomal RNA (433 nucleotides) under uncultured bacterium. RNAcentral describes it as "partial 16S ribosomal RNA". It matches the Rfam family "Bacterial small subunit ribosomal RNA", at positions 29 to 507 of the family's 1533-position model. The record is from RNAcentral.